AAAGAAAGCGUUUUGACGAGUUUCGGACUGGGAUCCCUCUUCACUGGAUAGCGACCCUUUCCUGUGUGAACUGAACAACAUAACCACACUGAGCCGGAUCAGAAGGGCUGCAAUGGAUGAUAAUCAGGCCAACAGGAACUUGAUCCAGACAGAGACUAGAAGAAAACAAGCCAGAACUCCAGUGGUUCCAUCCAGAGUCAGAC
Molecule: long non-coding RNA, 203 nt
Organism: Coregonus clupeaformis (lake whitefish)
Lineage: Eukaryota; Metazoa; Chordata; Actinopteri; Salmoniformes; Salmonidae
Exons: 3
Source: RefSeq, a predicted model, not a curated record